GAAUUAGAAAUACAGGUGCUGCAUGGCUGUCGUCAGCUCGUGUCGUGAGAUGUUGGGUUAAGUCCCGCAACGAGCGCAACCCUUGUCCUUAGUUACCAGCGGGUUAAGCCCGGAACUCUAAGGAUACUGCCAGUGACAAACUGGAGGAAGGCGGGGACGACGUCAAGUCAUCAUGGCCCUUACGACCAGGGCUACACACGUGCUACAAUGGUAGGUACAGAGGGCAGCUACACAGCGAUGUGAUGCGAAUCUCAAAAAGCCUAUCGUAGUCCAGAUUGGAGUCUGCAACUCGACUCCAUGAAGUAGGAAUCGCUAGUAAUCGCGGAUCAGAAUGCCGCGGUGAAUACGUUCCCGGGCCUUGUACACACCGCCCGUCACACCAUGGGAGUUGAUUGCACCAGAAGUGGAUAGCUUAACCUUCGGGGAGGCGUUCACCACGGUGUGGUUGAUGACUGGGGUGAAGUCGUAACAAGGUA
This 476-nucleotide ribosomal RNA is filed under the name uncultured bacterium. RNAcentral's name for it is "bacterial SSU rRNA". It matches the Rfam family "Bacterial small subunit ribosomal RNA", at positions 1023 to 1498 of the family's 1533-position model. The record is from RNAcentral.